AUUGAACGCUGGCGGCAUGCCUUACACAUGCAAGUCGAACGGUAGCAGGUCUUCGGAUGCUGACGAGUGGCGAACGGGUGAGUAAUACAUCGGAACGUGCCCGAUCGUGGGGGAUAACGGAGCGAAAGCUUUGCUAACACCGCAUACGAUCUACGGAUGAAAGCAGGGGACCGCAAGGCCUUGCGCGGACGGAGCGGCCGAUGGCAGAUUAGGUAGUUGGUGGGAUAAAAGCUUACCAAGCCGACGAUCUGUUGCUGGUCUGAGAGGACGACCAGCCACACUGGGACUGAGACACGGCCCAGACUCCUACGGGAGGCAGCAGUGGGGAAUUUUGGACAAUGGGCGAAAGCCUGAUCCAGCCAUGCCGCGUGCAGGAUGAAGGCCUUCGGGUUGUAAACUGCUUUUGUACGGAACGAAAAGACUCCUUCUAAUAAAGGGGGUCCAUGACGGUACCGUAAGAAUAAGCACCGGCUAACUACGUGCCAGCAGCCGCCGUAA
RNAcentral lists this ribosomal RNA (498 nucleotides) under uncultured bacterium. Its description in RNAcentral is "partial 16S ribosomal RNA". It matches the Rfam family "Bacterial small subunit ribosomal RNA", at positions 30 to 523 of the family's 1533-position model. The record is from RNAcentral.